Molecule: ribosomal RNA, 253 nt
Filed under: uncultured bacterium
Lineage: Bacteria
Description: partial 16S ribosomal RNA
Rfam family: Bacterial small subunit ribosomal RNA
Source: RNAcentral
UACGGAGGGUGCGAGCGUUGUCCGGAAUCACUGGGCGUAAAGGGCGCGUAGGCGGCAUGCCAAGCGUGUGGUGAAAGCCCGGGGCUCAACCCCGGGUCGGCCGUGCGGACUGGCGUGCUCGAGCACUGUAGGGGCGGGUGGAAUUCCGGGUGUAGCGGUGGAAUGCGUAGAGAUCCGGAAGAACACCGGUGGCGAAGGCGGCUCUCUGGGACGGUACUGACGCUGAGACGCGAAAGCGUGGGGAGCGAACAGG